This 492-nucleotide ribosomal RNA is filed under the name uncultured bacterium. RNAcentral describes it as "partial 16S ribosomal RNA". It matches the Rfam family "Bacterial small subunit ribosomal RNA", at positions 30 to 507 of the family's 1533-position model. The record is from RNAcentral.
AUUGAACGCUGGCGGCAGGCCUAACACAUGCAAGUCGAACGGCUGAAGAGUAAUAGCUCGUUCAUUCGGGUGGGGAGGGGCGGGUGGGGGCGGAAUACAUCGCAAGUUAUGGGGGAUUGGGUGCUAACGCGGGCAAAAAUACGCUAAAACCGCAUAGGACCUAAGGGGGAAAGCAUGGGAUCUUCCGACCUCGCGCGAUCCUAGGACCGGAUGUCGGAUUAGCUAGUUGGCGGGGUAAAGGCCCACCAAGGCGACGAUCCGUAGCUGGUCUGAGAGGAUGAUCAGCCACACUGGAACUGAGACACGGUCCAGACUCCUACGGGAGGCAGCAGUGGGGAAUAUUGGACAAUGGGCGCAAGCCUGAUCCAGCCAUGCCGCGUGGGUGAAGAAGGCCUUCGGAUUGUAAAGCCCUUUUGUUGGGAAAGAAAAGCAGCAGGUUAAUACCUCGCUGUUCUGACGGUACCCAAAGAAUAAGCACCGGCUAACUUCGUG